Molecule: long non-coding RNA, 222 nt
Filed under: Elaeis guineensis (African oil palm)
Lineage: Eukaryota; Viridiplantae; Streptophyta; Magnoliopsida; Arecales; Arecaceae
Description: long non-coding RNA (EGUI_LNC060113)
Source: RNAcentral
UGUAGAUCAAUUGAAAUCUAAUAGAUACUAUAUCUGUUGGUGGAUCCACUAAAGACCAAACUUGGUUAGAAUGCAUCGAGUCAAUUUUUGACUUUAUUUCAUUCAACCACUUCUCCGAAUUGAUGUCUAACAUCAACUUGUAGUAGUUUUGGGAUCAUCUUUAUAUUUUCUGUCUCUCAUGAGAAAUAUUUCUUCACAUCCUCUGUUAGAAUAUCAAAUAUC